Molecule: long non-coding RNA, 455 nt
Organism: Drosophila simulans
Lineage: Eukaryota; Metazoa; Arthropoda; Insecta; Diptera; Drosophilidae
Exons: 2
Source: RefSeq, a predicted model, not a curated record
UUGCUGUUCGAUUUUGUUUGCCUUUUUAAUUUUGGCAAUUAAUGAAAUUUAAUACUUUUGUGUGCACUGUCUGGCGCACAAGUUUUGGGUCGUUGGAAUUUAUGCUGGCCCCAACUUUAUUUGUUGUUAGAUUGAGAAAGUUGCGAGGUAUUUGUCAAAACUUAGGGGCCUUUUAAGUGACAGAUUAUUUGAAGAUGAUAGAUGAGUAAAGGAUACGGAAAAUGCAAAAAAUAAACUACAUAUGGAUAUGAAGGUCAAAUUAUUGUUCGCUUUUGAUAAUUACUACAAUAAUCUUGGUGAACCAAACAACCUUUCAACAUGGAGUGAAAUAUUGCAUCACAUUCCUCGCCUCUGAAAACAAAGUCUUCAAAACUGCCAAGAAGCUCCUCGCAAUUGUCGAUACGUCUCCUUUUCGAGUUUGCUGAUUGGCCAUUUACAAUAUGCAAAUUUGAUCC